GAUGAACGCUGGCGGCGUGCCUAAUACAUGCGAGUCGAGCGAACGGACGAGAAGCUUGCUUCUCUGAUGUUAGCGGCGGACGGGUGAGUAACACGUGGAUAACCUACCUAUAAGACUGGGAUAACUUCGGGAAACCGGAGCUAAUACCGGAUAAUAUUUUGAACCGCAUGGUUCAAAGGUGAAAGACGGUCUUGCUGUCACUUAUAGAUGGAUCCGCGCUGCAUUAGCUAGUUGGUAAGGUAACGGCUUACCAAGGCAACGAUGCAUAGCCGACCUGAGAGGGUGAUCGGCCACACUGGAACUGAGACACGGUCCAGACUCCUACGGGAGGCAGCAGUAGGGAAUCUUCCGCAAUGGGCGAAAGCCUGACGGAGCAACGCCGCGUGAGUGAUGAAGGUCUUCGGAUCGUAAAACUCUGUUAUUAGGGAAGAACAUAUGUGUAAGUAACUGUGCACAUCUUGACGGUACCUAAUCAGAAAGCCACGGCUAACUACGUG
This 497-nucleotide ribosomal RNA is filed under the name uncultured bacterium. RNAcentral's name for it is "partial 16S ribosomal RNA". It matches the Rfam family "Bacterial small subunit ribosomal RNA", at positions 28 to 507 of the family's 1533-position model. The record is from RNAcentral.